CCCUUAGAUGUUCUGGGCUGCACGCGCGCUACACUGAUGCACUCAACGAGUUUCUGACCUUGUCCGAGAGGAUUGGGUAAUCUUUUUAAAAUGCAUCGUGAUGGGGAUAGAUUAUUGCAAUUAUUAAUCUUCAACGAGGAAUUCCUAGUAAGCGCGAGUCAUCAGCUCGUGCUGAUUACGUCCCUGCCCUUUGUACACACCGCCCGUCGCACCUACCGAUUGAAUGGUCCGGUGAAAUCUCGGGACGGCGGCUUGGUCGCUUGCGUCCGACUGCUGAAACUUGAUUAAACCAUAUCAUUUAGAGGAAGGUGAAGUCGUAACA
Molecule: ribosomal RNA, 322 nt
Filed under: uncultured eukaryote
Lineage: Eukaryota
Description: partial 18S ribosomal RNA
Rfam family: Eukaryotic small subunit ribosomal RNA
Source: RNAcentral